GUUGAUUUUGGACUUCAGGUAAGAGUGGAGAGUUGCUUACUGACCCUUUGAUGCCUACAAAAUAUAAAACAUGGUGCUUUAGUAUAAGUGGGUGAAGCUCUGAAAUUCUCUCCAGUCCUAACUUUUCUGCUUUUUCUUCUGUCAGAAUUUCCUCAGUUACUUAAAAACAGAAGGAAAAGCAGGAGGACUAUGCUGACCACACUCUGGGUAACCAAAAGCUAACUCUUCUAGGUUGUCUUUUCUGGAUACUGUCAUGUUUUCCUGCCUGACUUACUCAUUUGUUCCUGGUUUAGAGACGUUCAAUAUCUCUUUGAUUUCAUGACAAGUUGGGUCAUACCAAUGUGAAGACAGCAAAGAGGAUAUCACAUGCUCUAGGGAUGGCAUCCCACUUACAUGGUCUAUCUACCACAGUGACUUUUGGAUAUCCAAGAUUCUG
RNAcentral lists this long non-coding RNA (436 nucleotides) under Cricetulus griseus (Chinese hamster). RNAcentral describes it as "lncRNA (ENSCGRG00015011666.2)". The record is from RNAcentral. Lineage: Eukaryota; Metazoa; Chordata; Mammalia; Rodentia; Cricetidae.